UGGGGAAUAUUUGCGCAAUGGGCGAAAGCCUGACGCAGCGACGCCGCGUGAGGGAUGAAGGCCUUCGGGUUGUAAACCGCUUUCAGCAGGGAAGAAGCGAAAGUGACGGUACCUGCAGAAGAAGCACCGGCUAACUACGUUGCCAGCAGCCGCGGUAAUA
RNAcentral lists this ribosomal RNA (160 nucleotides) under uncultured bacterium. RNAcentral's name for it is "partial 16S ribosomal RNA". It matches the Rfam family "Bacterial small subunit ribosomal RNA", at positions 355 to 525 of the family's 1533-position model. The record is from RNAcentral.